RNAcentral lists this long non-coding RNA (35443 nucleotides) under Brassica rapa (field mustard). Its description in RNAcentral is "long non-coding RNA (BRAP_LNC006904)". The stretch from base 3091 to 3197 matches the Rfam family "Plant small nucleolar RNA R71". Lineage: Eukaryota; Viridiplantae; Streptophyta; Magnoliopsida; Brassicales; Brassicaceae. The record is from RNAcentral.
UCACAUUCAUUAAGCACAAAACAUCAGGUGAAUUCUUGCAAAUGGUCAGUUGGUCCAAGUCAUUUGGUUGGGUAAGGGAAGGCUUUUAUUCAAGUGAUUCAAGAGGUUCAAAACAUAUGAUCUUUAAGGUGGUUUACUCUCGAAACAAGUAGCCUUGACAUUGCACAUAAUAUAUCUAAGAAAGGGAUCAACUCAUGCAUACAAUGCUCAAUCUCCAUUGUUCUACCCUUUUUCUAAACAUACAAUUACACAAUCAUUCCCACAUGUCAAACACAACUCACAUCUCUCACCAAAAGAUCCUAAGAACUUUAACUCCUUCUCUUUGAAAUCUACAAGGGAUUUUUUCAGAACCUCAAAAUAUUUCUUAGCUCCUAACAAAUUUGCUAGCCCCUUUUUCUUUUUUUUUCUUUUUCUUUUUCUUUUCUCUUUUCUUUUUUUUUUAGGUUGGGGGCCAAUACUUUCAAAACUUGAGCUAGAGGCUUCUCUACUUAUCCCAAUAAAACAAUUCACUUAAGCACAAAGAGUCUAUUCUUUUUCUUUUUCAUUUCUCCCAAAUCAUAAUCACAACACUCACCCCCCCCCCACCUAUAGCUAGACAAUAGAGUGCCCAAUCUAGCAAGAAUGAAGAUCAAGCAUUGUCGUUCCCGAUACUCUGAACAUUAUGCACAUGUAAGACUUUCCGAAAAAGGCCUCACUCAUCAAACAAUGAAAGCUUAAAAGGAGGGAAAGGUUUUGGGAGUGGUCUACCACUAGAGUUUGUCAAAAAACAUUGGCAUAAAAGAUGUGACAACUCAAGUGUGUAUAGCCAUGACUUAGUACACAAGGGACCAUGAGCAAGAAGCAUUAAGUUCGUUCAGUUCAAAUAAGGUUGUAGUUGGCUUCAAAGACUGAGUUUCAGCAAUCAACAAGUUUCAGGAAGAGUUUUCAAGGCUCGAAACAUACAAGUCUUUUUGAGAGGUGCAAAAGCUACUCAGGUGCAACGUAGUGUUCUUUACAAGGCAUUUAAAAUCAUUGCUCCUAAUGCAAGUGAAUGCAACCUAUAUGCUCUAGACUCUCCUAGAAAUGCAAAUGAUGCAAACUAAAUGAUUGUUUUUUUUUUAUAUGCAAAUAGGUAUGCAAUGCAUGACUCAAUGAAACAACAUCAAAGCAAACAUGAUCAAAUACUUGGUACCUCCCCCAAACUUGAGUUACACAGUCUCUGUGUUGUCAAGUAGAGAGAGCUACCCAAAAGAAGACUAAUAUGCAAAAAUGAAAUGGUAUAUACAAGGGAGUGUGGUGGUUUACCUUCUAUGGGGAAUGAGUAGAGGGAGAUGCUCCCUCCUCGUCGUCCUCAGGUGAUAACUCUUCAAGAUGCUUGUCAGCAGGAGUGGCCAUCUCUUCAAUGUAGAAGGCUUGCCCGAACACAGUUGGUUUCCUAAUUUUCUCCUUGAUGUCAAAGUGUAGGAUGUUCUCUUUACCCAAAUGGAGAUCAAUCGUGCCUUCCUUCACAUUAACAAUAGCUCCUGUUGUAGCUAAGAAUGGCCUUCCUAGAAUCAAUGGGUCUUGAGCCUCCUCACCCAUCUCAAGCACCACAAAAUCUGUAGGUAUCUCAUACCUCCAAUCUUCACAGGGAGGUCCUCUAAGAUGCCCACAUGAUACUUCACUGAACGAUCAGCUAACACCAGAGAGAGUCUACACUUCUUGUACUGAGUGAAUCCAAGCUUCUUUGCAACAGACAAAGGCAUCAAGCUGACACUAGCUCCCAAAUCGCAGAGACAUUUCUCAAAUACCAUAGGUCCAAGAGCACAAGGUAGUGUGAAGCUUCCUGGAUCCUCUAACUUCUCUGGAACAUCAAGCCUCUGGAUGAUGGCACUGCACUCAUGGGUAAGAAUCAUCAUGCCUUCCAUCUCCUUCUUCUUUGCAGCUACAGCAUCUUUCAAGAACUUGUUGUAUUGAGGAAUCAACAUAAAAGCAUCGAUGAUGGGCAUUGCAACCUGAGCUUCACUCAUUUGCUUCUCAAACAGAGCCUUGUAUUUCUCUAGCAGCUGCUUCUUGAAUCUACCAGGGAAUGGAAGUUUGGGUUCAUAGGGAGGAGGAACAAAAUAACUUUCACUUGCUGGAGUAACAACUUCACCAUCCUUUAAUGUCUUCUUCUCUUCCCCAACCUUUCCUUUACCUUUGGCUUCCACUAUCUUCUCCAAGAUCUCGUCAUUGAUCUUCUCAUCAACAAUCACCACUUCAUCAUCUAUGUUGAUGGCAACCCCCUCACUUAGUUUCUCAGCAUCCUUGGUGAGGGUUCUAGGAGGUAACUGCUUACCACUCCUAAGGGUGAUAGCCUUGGCCUCCUUAGGGUUUUGGUCAGACUUUCCAGGUAUAGAUCCUUGCUGGCGAUUCUGGUGAGUGUUCAUGGAAGCAAACUGAUUCUCUAAAUUCCUGACUGUAGAAGCAAGGUGUGGGAAUUUGUUGUUGAGCUCAUUGUAACUUCCAUCAAUCUUGGUAUGAAGGUUCUUCAACUCAUAACCAACAUGCUUCUCACUUCUAGUCUGAGACUCCAAGAUUUGUUUCAGUAAGGUAUCAGUGCUGCUCUCUUGAGGAGCAGAGGAACCAGACGAGGGGUUUUGCUGAGGAUGAUAGCUGCCUUGCUGGUUGUUUCUAGGCGGAUAACCACUCUGUUGGUUGGUUGGAUAGAAUUUCUGUUGGUAGUUGUUGUACUGAAAGUUGGGCUCUUUUUUGUACCAGCUACCAUUGUUGUUAAUGAAACACAACUCCUCUUGACCUUCCAAACCAUCAACCUCAUUGACAACAAGUGGAUCUUCCUGCUUGGAGUUACCAACAAACUUCAGCUGCUCUUGGGUGGCUUUUUCAGCAAUGAGUAGGUCGAUCUUGUCUUCCAAAGCUUUGAUCUCUUUCCUCGUCUGCUUAUCAUCUGUUAUACUGCCUCUGUCAUGGUCUCCACUGUAGACUGCAUCACUCUUUACCAUGUUGUCAACCAGCUCUUCUGCAUCCUCUUCAGUUCUCCCCAAGAAGAAUCCAUUGCUAGCUGUAUCCAGUCUGGCUCUGUACUUAGGAAGAGCACCACGGUAGAAUGUGCUCAGCAAGCUCUCCUUAGAGAAGCCAUGGUGUGGGCAUUGAGCUUGGUAGCCCUUGAAUCUCUCCCAGGCUUCACUGAAACCUUCCAAGUUCUUCUGUUGAAAGCUGGAAAUCUCGUUUCUCAGCUUAGCAGUUCUUGAAGUAGAGAAGAACUUCUCCAAGAAUGCUUUCUUGCAGUCAUCCCAAGUGGUGAUGGAGUCGCUGGGUAGAGACUUCUCCCACUGACGUGCCUUAUCCCCCAAAGAGAAAGGGAAUAGCUUGAGCUUUAAGGCAUCUUCGGACACACCAUUUGUUUUUGACAACCCACAGUAGCUGUCGAACCUGUCCAAGUGAUCAAAUGGAUCCUCUAGAGCCAAUCCAUGAUACUUGUUGUUCUCGAUCACGUUGAGGAGUCCUGAUUUGAUCUCAAAGUUGUUGGCUGCCACAGCUGGUGCUCGGAUUCCCAAUCUAUGACCAUGAAUGUUGGGGCGGUCGUAAGUGCCAAUGGGUCGAGCUGCUCGCUGUUGGUUUUGUGGAACGUUGUUAGCUUCAUUGACACCCGCAUAAUUUUGAGGUAUGUCUUCCAUAUCAGUGUCCAAUCUCUGCAAGUGAGCCUGUUGCACUUCUUCUCUUCUCUUUCUAGCACACUCUCUCUCUAAAGCUCGGAUGUCUGCAGCUCUUGGAACUAGGUUUGAUGGACCCCUGCUCCUCAAGUUCAUGCACCUGUAGAUUAAGGGGAGGUGAAGAAGAAUCAGUAACGAAAUAAAAUAAAAAUGACUUAGUCUCAAGCAAGUGACUAAAUCUCAAUGUUGAAAUCUACUCAGAAUUUGGCAACGGCGCCAAUUUGAUGUUAGGAGUUUUCAAGGCUCCUAAGACAAAUGUUGUAGUAUAAAUGAUUGUCGAACCAGUUCUGAGGGAUAUCAAAGCACCGAGAAUGCAAGUACUCACUUAAUCUAAGUGCAACCAAUGAUUUAGAUGGGUUUUAAGCUACGACUAAAACUAAAAAGCAAUAACAGAAUGAUACUUUCUUGACUAAGGGAAAAGAGAACUCAUGGGCAUAGGGAUUAGACCUUGGGUGAUCAAGUAUCGAACUAAGGAUGGCAAAUGAUCGAUCAAACUAUCGACCUUAAGCCUAGACACAAUUCUAAGCAAGCUCUAUGUCUAGAUGAAUGCUCAUUUGCUAACAUAUCUCAAACAUCAAAUGUCUUUGGUUGAAUAAUAUGAAAGCAAUCAUUACUAACAAGUCUAUUAGCUAUCUUAGCACCUUUAACAACAAAUGUCUUUGGCAAAGUAUACUAAAAGCCUAGGAGAGUUGUCUCGGGCAUUUCAUCGAACACCUUUCGGGUGAGAAAUGCCUAAAGAUCAACAACUGAGUGGCCAACUCAGAAGAUGCAUUAUGAUUACUCUACUAGCAAGGAAAUACGAAUGAUCUACACUAAAACAUCCUAGCUCUAACCUAAUCACCCUUAAUCUCCCUAACCCAUGAAUUCAAAAGGUGAUUACUCACUAAUCUCCAUGAUUCCUCUUAAACCCAUAUUGGAUUUCAGAUUAAUCAUGUAGAGAAAUAGAUAAGAAAUCAACAAGAACACAAGAACAUAACAAUCAAAAUCCAAGAGAUGAACUUCUCCAGAGAGUUUUUGUGUAUUUCUCAAUAGAUCAAAAGAUAAUCUGCCUGGUGGCUACAAAAGAUGUUUAAAACAUAGGUUUUUCCAAGUGCAAAACAUUCAAAAUAAAUUGCAAAAAGGUCCUUGAGAAAUCAUGAUUUUUGGCAGCAAAAUAACGCGGAGCGACUUGCAGGUGUCGCUCCGGGAAGUCGCUCCAGGGCCGAUUUUUGGUGUCUCCGGGCGAGAGGUCGCGAGCGACUUUGGUGUGUCGCUCCAACGGGUCGCUCUGGAUCGGGAGCGACCUUGGUAGGUCGCUCUGAGAGGUCGCUCCAGGGUCAUCUAAGACUGUUCGGAGUAAUGAGAACGCGAGCGACUUCAUGGCGUCGCUUUAGGAAGGUCGCUCUGAGAAGUGGGACACAGCGACUUCGUGAUGUCGCUCCGGGAGGUCGCUCCCAUGCUCGGUUCGUCCAAUGGUCACCUUUUCACCUCUUUUGAGCUCCAAAUAACCUCAUGUGGUACUCCAGUACCUAAUAGAGACUCAUGUAUGCAAAAUGCAACCUAAACAUGUCUAAAUCCUAAUCUAUAUGAUGAAAAUGUUUAUGAAUGAAUGGAUAAAACAAUGCAAAUAUGCAAGAUAUCAUUAAGGUGCUUGGGAUAGUGGAUGGAGACACCAAACCGGCUAUGGGAUACAUAUAUGCUGCUAUGGACAGAGCUAAAGAGGCUAUUGCAAGGAGUGUCAAGAUGAAGCAAGAGAAAUAUGAGAAUGUGUUUGAGAUCAUUGAUUGAAGGUGGAAUUGUCAGCUUCAUCAGCCUCUUCACGCAGCUGGAUACUUCCUUAAUCCAGCUAUCCACUAUGCCAAUCCUGAAGACGUGUGCUGUGAAGAAGUUGAGACUGGUUUGUACAACUGUAUCAACAGGCUUGUCCCGGAUGGUGAGAUUCAAGAUAAGGUGAUGCUGGAGCUUGAUUUGUUUUAAAAGGCUGCUGGUCUCUUUGGGCAUAACAUGGCAAUAAGGCAAAGGGAGAUGAAAGCACCAGGUAAAUUAUUUUAAGACGUUUAGCUUUUUUUCUUAUUGUCAAUUCUAAAGUCUAAACUAAUUGAGUCUCAUUUGUGUUUGUUUAUAGCUGAUUGGUGGUCUACUUAUGGAUCAUCAGCUCCUAAUCUAAGAGACUUUGCUGUGAAAGUACUAAGCCUAACUUGCAGUGCCUCUGGAUGUGAAAGGAAUUGGGGUGUUUUUGAACUUGUAAGUUUUUUAUAUUCAACUUAUUUCAUAAUCAGAUUGUUUAUGAAGUUCAUUAAUUAUUGUUAUUCAAAUUUCUGUAGCUUCACACAAAGAGAAGGAACCGUUUAGCUCAACAUCGGUUGAAUGACAUGGUGUUUGUCAAGUACAACCGAGCCUUGCAACGUCGCAUGAAGAGAAGUGAUAGCACUGAUCCUAUUCUCUUAGAAGAGAUUGAUGAAAGCAAUGAAUGGCUGAUGGGAAGAAUGGAAGGAAACUCUGAUAGUGAUGAUCUAGAUGAUAAUGUCUUUGAGGAUGAAGAUCUGACAUGGAGUGCAGUGAGUGAAGCAACAAGAGCUGAGGAACCUAACUACACUACUAGAGGAUCAAAAAGCUCAGCAGCGGCAGACAAGGGGAAAGGAGUUGCCUCUUCUUCAACUCAGCCAAGACAGGAACGAUAUGGUCCAGGUCCUUCUAAUCUGUCUCUUGUUGAUGUCGAUGAUGAUGAACUGGAACAUGAUUUGGAAGCAAAUGGCUUCGACAAGGGGAGGAAUUGGAGUUCCAAGAUGACUCUGAAACAGAGUUUUAGAGUUGGUGUUUUAGUUUUGGUAUUUUGUUUUUUUUUUACUUUGAAUUAUGAACCGUUUUGGUUUUGAAUUAUGCUUCGUUUUGGUGUUUUGGUUUUGGUUUUCUACUUAUGAUAUGUUAUUUUGGCUGUUCUCUACAUUAUCAAUAAAAGAUGUUUUGGUUUUAUAUUUAUCGUGUCUUUAUCUAAGUACAACAUACUUGACAGUGUAAAGUGUACAAAGUUACUUUCUAGUCGUGUGAUACACGUAGCGAACGCAAUGAGUCGCCAUGGCGCCUGGCGAGAAUCGACCUCCUGGACGCCAAGCCUCGCCAUACGCAAUUUAAAACCAAGAUUGCCACUGAUCAAAACACAAACAUAUUUGCUAAUCCAUUAAUUUCCUAUAAAUCGUUAUUAGACCAUUCAGUCCGGUAUAUAAUCUAUUUAAUUAAGUUUGACCGGCACAUAGGCUUAUAUUAUUCAAAACCAAUACUCUUGUAAACAUAUAUAUGACCAGUCGUAAACCUAUGAUCAUGCCAUUUAUAAUUUAGACUAGGUUAAGAUCCCGCGCAAUGCGCGGAAUGAACAUUAUAUAUAAAAAUUAUUUUAUAUAUUAUAUGUUUAUAACAUAUUAUGAAAUAAUAAAUAUAUAUUGAAUAAUUAAAAAGUCAUUAUCUAAUACUUAUAUAAUUAAAUUGAUGUGAACAUAUAAAUACAUUUUAUAAAUCAAAAUUUUUUUUUUCUGUUUGAUAUGAUAUAUAAUUAAAUUUAAAUGAUAGUAACAUAUAUAUGAUAUAUUUUAAUAUUAAUAUUUAUUAGAUGAUAUAUUUUAAUAUUAAUAUUUAUUAGAUGAUGUUUUUUGCUCAUAUUUGUUUUUUAUCAUUUGUAUCUGUUAUACCAAAAGUCUAAAUUAGUGAUAACAAAAUUUUCACUGUAUGAUUAAUGGUUUAAGUAAUUUAUAAUAUUUUGAGAAAUUAAAUUGUCAAUAUUUUUUCAAGUUUUUUAUCAAAAAAAUGUUCAAAAUAAAUUUCAAAAUUAAGAUAUUUAUGUAUUUUUAUAUGGCAUAUAGUUUAAUUUAAAAUGAUACAUAUAUUUAUAUAUCUUUUAUUUUUGAUACUUAUUAAAUGAGACUUUCAACUUAUAUUAUUUUUAAAUUAUUUGUAUCAUGUCAUAACAAAAUUUUUAAAUUAUAGAUCACAAAAUUUGAAUGGGAAACUUUUAACAGUUUUAGUAAUUUAUACUCGCUUUUAAAAAUUCAAAAUAUAUUGUAUAAAUAAUUUUUUUAAUUUUUAUUUUAUGGUUACUAUGAUUGUUUAAUUUAUUUUAAUAGCUUAAAAUUAAACAAAUAUAAUUAUAAUACACACUUAUUUUUAUCAAAUCUUUAUUAUUCAAAAUCAUUAAUUGUCAUAUAUACUUUAGCCACAUUAGACAAUUCCGUAAUCUUAUUUAAGGAAAUAAUGAAGCACAUUAAUAAUGUAUUUAUUGGGGUUUAAUAAAAAGCUUAUUAUAUAUUUAGAUGGACCAACCUAUUUCUCUAAGAAUUCUAAGAAUCAUUCUAACGAUGACACGUGGCUACAAAAAAUGUUGCGAUGUUUCUCAAAUAAUAUAUAGAGGAUUAGUUCAUGUUUAUUCAUAGCCAAACAAUGAUAGACAACAAUCUUCACAUCAACGAUUUCUUAAGCACAAUAUGAUGAAGUCAAAUUAACAUUGUCUAGAUUGGUUUUGAUUGUGCAUAUCGACAUUGUACAUAUUGAUCUAAUGAAGCUAUGGUUUGUCGAUUUUUUUGGUUUACCGAAUUUAUAACUUUUUAAAAAUUCUUUAUUAUGUUUGUUAGUAUCCAUUCAAAUAACGAUUCCUACUUCCACGCAAUAUUAAUUACAAUAAAUCAUAACUAAAUAUUCUUUAUUCGAGAAAAAAAACAACAUCCAAAGUUUUUUUUCCUAUUUUUAUGCACUCAUCGUAUCAAGAAAGAAUAUAUAUUAAUUACCACAAUUAUCAUCUAUACUAUUAUUUGCGAAGUAAAUUUUUGGAAUCGAGCUCUUACGUUAAAAGUUAGAGUGGUUAAUAUCGUUUAUACCCUUAAUGAAUAAAAUUUAUAAAUUAACUAAAACAUAAAAACGAAUUUAAAAUUAUUUGGUUAGAUAAGUUAUUAUUAAUAAUAAAAAAACUUAUCCAAUAUCUGAAAGAUAUAUUUUAAGAAUCGAGCUUUCACGUUAAAAGUUAGAGUGAUUAAUAUUGUUUAUACCCUUAAUGAAUAAAAUCUAUAAAUUAGCUAAAACAUAAAAACGAAUUUAAAAUUAUUUGGUUAGAUAAGUUAUUAUUAAUAAUAAAAAAACUUAUCCAAAAUCUGAAAGAUAUAUUUUAAGAAUCGAGCUUUCACGUUAAAAGUUAGAGUGAUUAAUAUCGUUUAUACCCUUAAUGAAUAAAUUCUAUAAAUUAACUAAAACAUAAAGACGAAUUUAAAAUUAUUUGGUUAGAUAAGUUAUUAUUAGUAAUAAAAAAACUUAUCCAAAAUCUGAAAGAUAUAUUUUAAGAAUUGAGCUCUCACGUUAAAAGUUAGAGUGAUUAAUAUCGUUUAUACCCUUAAUGAAUAAAAUCUAUAAAUUAACUAAAACAUAAAAACGAAUUUAAAAUUAUUUGGUUAGAUAAAUUAUUAUUGAUAAUAAAAAACUUAUCCAAAAUCUGAAAGAUAUAUUUUAAAAUAAAAGAUAUUUCCUAUAUAUUUUGUGUUGUAAUCCGAAAACAUAUUUUAAUAAAAUAUUUAAAUACUAAAAAAUUAAAACUAAAAACACAUAGAAAACCUAUAACUUAAUAUUAUUCAAAAAAUAUUAAUCAUAUUUAUACUCAAUUAUUAAUUUUAAAAAAUAAUUUUAGACAAUUUUUAUUACAUGUCAAUAUAAAAAAAAUUAGUUGAGAGGUUUUAACAAUAAAACCCCAUAAAUCUUCUAUCUUUUACUUUAUUUUAUUAAAAUAAAUAUAAAUUCAUAUAUAUAGUUUUAUGUAUAUUUUUAUGUAUAUAUAAAUGUUUUGAGGAUUAUUUUACAUAAUAAUAGAUAUUUUAUUAAAAUAAAAAACUUUAGCGUAUAUAGAAAAUUUAAUAUUAAAUUAAUUAUUAAAUAUUUAAAAAGCAUGAAAAUAACUUAUUCAAAUUUUUUGAAUUGAUAAUAUAUUUCUUUACAAAAUUUUAUAAAAUUAUUAAGUUGCCCGCACUUGCGGACAAAACACCUAGUUUUCUUUUAUUUAAACAUGACAAACACAUAUUUCUUCUCUACAGAAAGUAUAUUCUGUUUUUAUUAUGGUAUAACUUAAAAGGAAUGUAUAUAUUUGAUUUGAUUUAGUGUUAAAAUUAAAACUACCAAAAAUGAUGAGUUGAUCCUAUUAAACAUACCCUUCCCUAUGCCGAGUUUAUAUAUCUCAUUUAUCCUCCGUAAAAAAACGCAUCCAGAAAACCUAAACACGAAACCCUAACUUCAUCAGCCUGUGGUCAAUAUCGAACUAUAAAACAUCAGUACAAGAUGACUAUACGUGUGUGCUCUGGUGGAAGAAUGGUAGAUAUUUCUUAUGCUUCAGAACACAGUUUUAAUAGUUUAGAUGAACUAUAUUUUUUUAUUCAAACAAUUCAUUUACAUAAGCUUCUCUAUCUUUUGUCAAACACUUCCAUACCCUGCAAAGACCUCUAAGUGCCAAAAAGGAACUCGGCACCUAAAGCCAAUAAAGUCUAGGAAAUCAACCUCGUUAAUAAUUCGGGAGCCGUUCGUGACUACUUGUAUCCUCGACGGUUCAUCUAUGGUUGGCGGAACAUCAAACCCGGAGGGAGCUGUUAACCGUAGUACUCGCUUCAGUCCUUUUCAGGUUGUUCACAGCUUGGUACCUCGUGCACCGACAGAUCUAUCCACAUUGCCGGAUCGUCAACGUCUUCAUGGAGUGGCUGAGACAUUUAUGGAGCAGCUCGUCGAAACGCAUGUUCAGACUAAUACAAACUUGGAAGCAUCAGUGUCAAAGUAUAAAUCUGCGGUCGAUGCUCAUCGCCGUCGCCUUAUCUUUGACGUCGGCGACCUUGGGCGUAUUUGACUUGAUACCGUAUGCAUGACCACGCCUAUAAUAAACUCAAGGCUAAGAAGAUCGGUCCGCUGGAAGUUCUUGAGCGCAUAAAUGACAACACCUAUCGACUUCAACUUCCCUCUAAUAUAACUACUUCAGAUGUUUUUAAUGUCAAGUACCUCUCUCGAUAUUUCCCUCCAGAUCAGCCUCACGAUUCACAGACGAAUCUUCUUCACCUCGGGGGACCUGAUGCAGCAGCAUCCUAGUACCUUCAACGUCAAGUUUUCUUUUUAAGUGAUUUCCUUUUUACUUAGGGUUUAUGUUUUUUCUUUUCUAUUAGGUUAAAUAUUCUAAUGACGAUUUAAGAGUCCUAUGUAAGAAACUCUCUUAUGGCUUUUGUAAGAUACACUUUUGAUAAUUAAUAAACUAGCUUUGUGCUUUAUACUUUGAUAGAGAUUCGAUUCAAUUCGUCUUGUUCGAGAAGCCUUGAAAGAGAUUCGAUUAGAUUCAUUUUCUUCAAGUUGCAAGUCUCUAGUGAUUUCAAAUCGAAAUCCCUAGAUUGAGCUGAUAUCUGUUCUUAUCCGCCAUCACACCAACAACAUAAAGCUGAGAUCAUAAUUGGACCCAUUUGGAAAUGAAGUUAAAACAUGGUCCAACAAUUGGUCAAAAACUUUUAGUUUUUAUAGUUGGCGUUUUGUCUGGCUUAUAAUUUAAUCAAAAUAAAUGUUUUUCGACCAAGCUUUAUUGAAUAUAUAUAGCUAAUUUUUCACAUUUAAACAAAUUAACAAUAUUUUUUAGGUUUCAUUGGCCAAAUUCCAAAAUCUCUCGAUUAUAUUCUUUUUUUACACUGGAUUAUCAUUCCAAGGAUUAAUGCAACUCUCCACGAAGACCAUGUCCUAGGAGAAAAAGGUCUGAGAAGUUUAAAAAUCUAACUCUCAGACGAGACUAGAAAACAACAGAAACAAGAAAACAGAACUCACCAAUAGGUGGGUACUACAGAGUGUUCUCCUUACACCUGACAGGAGAAAGUGCUUGCAACCCAAGCUUGAAAGCUAUGAGGAGGACACCUCCUCUAACAACAAGUUCCUCAGCCAUCUCAGACCUCACAAAGCCACAUAUGAUCGGGUUAAACCAUUUAAAAGUCGAGUGAUUAUUUUUAAACAAAUUAUACAACGUAAGUUAUGUUUUUUAUAUAAUUACUGGUAUAUGUUUUUUCAAUAUUUCAAUUGCGCAGGUCUUGUACUACUAUAUACAAAAUUAAUCAAAUGUCUAUUUUUUUUUACAACACAAUCAAAUGUCUAUAUCUCAUAAUCAAAAAUAUUGAACUCAAAGAUACAAUAAAUAAUACUCCAUAGUUUCAUAAAAAAUGCCACUUUGAUAUUUUUCACACAAAUUUAAAAAAUAAUUAAAAUACAUUAAAUUUUUUAUUAAUUACACAUAUUUAACCAAUAGUAUUUGAAAUAAAUAAAAUUAUUUAUUAAAUCAAUGUAUUUGUAAUUAAUUUUAAACUGAAAGUUGCAGAUGAUAUUUUUUUUUGUAACAUGAAAAAAAUGCUAAAGCUAUAGUUAAUAGGAAACAAAUCAGAGAUCUAACGAGGUCCGAUCCGAUGGUUCCUAAGAUGACAUCAAUGGCGGUCGCUAGACCUCUCUGCUCACACUCUUGCUUGUUCCUCGCCUUUUCACUCGUCUCCAUCGUCUCGCUUCUCUUCUUCUCAAACUCCUUACUAUCCGACCCAAAUCUAAGGAUCUCGCGCGGUACCGUCGAAACGGGCAUCAAUGUCUUCGUAGCUGAGCUUCCGAGAUCCCUAAACUACGGUCUCCUCGACAAGUACUGGUCCUCUCCUCCAGAUUCACGCAUACCCAGCGACCCUGACCACCCGACCCGGAAACCCAAUCCACCCAAACCCGGUAAAUACCCGGAGAACCCUCUGAUCAAGCAGUACAGUGCAGAGUACUGGAUGAUGGGAGACCUCGAGACUCCACCCGAGAAACGAAUCGGAUCUUUCGCCAAAAGGGUUUUCAGUGAAUCCGAAGCUGAUGUAGUGUUCGUGCCCUUCUUCGCCACGCUAAGCGCGGAGAUGGAGCUUGGGAAUGGCAAAGGCUCCUUCAGGAAGAGAUCUGGAAACGAAGAUUAUCAGAGGCAGAGGCAAGUUGUCGACUUUUUGAACAAGACUCAAGCUUGGAAGCGAUCCGGUGGACGUGAUCACGUUUUCGUCCUAACCGGUACCAAAUCUUCUUACAAAAAAACAAUAGAUCUGAUAGACUUAGAAUCUUUAAUCUGUUGGAUGUAAUGUAUUUGUUCAGGUUAGUUAAAUGUUGAAGCCUUCUUUGGCAGACCCUGUUGCAAUGUGGCAUGUCCGCCAUGAGAUUGCUCUCUCUAUUCUUCUUGUCGUGGAUUUUGGAGGAUGGUUCAGGCUAGAUUCUAAGUCUAGUAGCUUCCCUGAGAGGAUUGAGCAUACCCAAGUCUCUGUCAUUAAGGAUGUGAUUGUUCCAUACACGCAUCUUCUUCCUAGGCUUGAUUUGUCUCGCAACCAGAGACGGCACAGUCUUCUUUAUUUCAAAGGUGCUAAGCAACUUACUUUUAUCUCAAUCAUUAUAUGUCUUCAUAGCAAAUGGUCUGUGCUCUUAGUAAUUUUGUAUAUAUGUUCACCUUGACAGGGUGGGUUGAUUAGAGAAAAGCUAUGGGACUUGCUGGUGGAUGAACACGACAUUGUCAUGGAAGAAGGUUUCCCUAAUGCAACUGGAAGAGAACAGUCCAUAAGAGGGAUGAGAAACUCAGAGUUCUGCUUGCAUCCAGCAGGUGACACUCCCACUUCAUGCCGUCUCUUUGACGCCAUUCAAAGCCUAUGCAUCCCUGUGAUUGUCAGCGACAACAUAGAGCUCCCCUUUGAAGGAAUUCUAGAUUACUCAGAAUUCUCGGUCUUUGUCUCUGUAAGUGAUGCGUUAACACCUAAAUGGUUGGCUAAUCAUCUCAGAAGCUUCUCCGAAAGAGACAAGGAAUCAUUUCGAAGUAGAAUGGCAAAGGUGCAGUCAGUUUUUGUGUAUGAUAAUGGUCGAGCAGAUGGGAUUGGACCGAUCCAACCUGAUGGUGCGGUCAAUCACAUAUGGAAGAAGGUACAGCAGAAGGUGCCAAUGGUGAAGGAAGCUGUCAUUAGGGAGAGGAGAAAACCAGUUGGUACUUCUGUUCCUCUUCGCUGUCAAUGUAUCUGAAUUGUCGAACCAAACCCCCCCCACCCCCUCCCCCAAAAGAUUUGUUUUUUUCGUUUUGUUUUUGUUCACGAACAUUGUUGUGUCAUAGUAUAAAAUACUAUACCAAAAUGAUUUUGACAAACAAACAUUUUCUUUUGUAUAAUUAUCCUGAGGAUUUGUUGCUACAGACUGAUUGUGAAUCAUACAAAAAUUUGCUCUUAGGACUUUUAGCUAUCGAGUGGUUAAGUUACAUGGAAUAAUAAUUUAAAAAAGACAUUCAACAGAUUUUAAACUUCCAAAAUAAUCACUUUUUUUUUUCAUUCUUAUAACAAAAACAAUACUUAUACAAAUCUCAACUGACACUUGUUUUCUUAGUACAGACUUCCACAUGCUUGAAACUCCCUUUGGAUUAAUGUAAUGGAGAAAAAGGGAACAGAGACAAUCCAAACACUAACAUCCACCCCCAGAAACUUUGCUAAAAACUGCACAAUAACAGGGUGAAUAACAACUGGACCUGUCUCUAUUUACAAUAUCAAAUGAAAGAAUCAUAAAAACGAGUUUUGAUUUUGAGUAUUAUAAUCAAAUAAUAAUAAUAAUAAUAGCUUAAUGUUUUUUUUUUUUGGUUUUUGUCCUUCAAGAGUCGCUCUCCUUGGAUUGAACACACCAUUGGUCAGGGACGCAUAAGAAAUGAGUCUUCAUGAAUUUCCUGAACCUCGUCUUGUAGUCAAUAGGGCUGAUCACUGUCGGCUGCACGUUCUUUGGAACCACCAAAGACGAUUUGACCCACGUCUCUAACUGCUUGUCCCAUGUGUAUUGCCUCAAGUAGUCUAUUAUCCCACACACUAGCUCAUGACUCUCAUCAUCUACUCCAACCAGCAAUGAGUAGUCCAUCACGUUUAUACUCUGCAGAUUUUGUUCACAAUUUAUAAAUAAGUUGAUUGCUGUGUAACACAAAUAUAUACUGAACAUAUAUAUGUGUCAUGAGAGAGAGAGAAAAAGAAGAACUCACGGUCAGGAAGGCUGUGUCGUUGUAAACCGCUCUUUGCAGAUUUUGCUUUGAUGUCUUGCUAACGUAAAGAGGGGAUUUGUUCAUGUCGUUGACGAAGUUCUGAUCCAACAGAACAUCUUCCGCGCCAUUAGCAGAAGUAGCCGUAAACCGAGCGUGUAGAGCGCCUUUGAGAUCGUAUUGGCGAGUAAUUUUUCUGCCAAAACUGAGAUUCUCCAUUACCAUCAGGUCGUGCCUUAUCUCUUUACCGCUCUUUGGCUGCCUUACAGUUACCUGUAAAAAUAGCAAUCGAAGCUCCUUCAAAAUAAAGUCCUAUCCGUUUCUUUAACGAUUUAGGCAAAAUGCUAAUGGUAGAAUGGUCAAGAGAUGAUUCUAAAGACAUUAUUACCUGAUAGAUCCCAAGAACUUUGGCAAGACAAGUCUGGUUGCCUAGAUCAUACGAGUCCUUCAUGUACUUGAAAUAUUCCGGAGCAAACGUCACAAAUGAUUCGUACUCUGUCUUCUUGAUCUCUUUUACAAUGAACCUAUCAUCCAAAGUCUUAGCGAACACUGAUUUGCUCUUCCCGCCCUUGGCAUCCCACGGCUUACAACGGCUAAGCGAAGCAAUAUAGUCAAGCUCUGAGGAGCAACAACGCUUUCUGAGGUCACGGAAAUCAUCUGCAUAUAGGCACACAAUAGAGUAUUUGGGUUUUCCCACUGAUUUGAGUGACCCAAAAGUAACAAGGACCUCUGGAGGUGGUAUUUCCAACCGACUCGUACUCUCACUCGCGAAACGAGAAACCUCACGGUCAACAGUUUGCUUAGAAUCUUGAUCUUUAUCCAGGAACCCUUCGAGUGAUCCAUGAAUGCACCUUGAAAGAGGCAAUCUGUUAUCAGCAUUGCUCAGAUGGGCAAGCGCGCAAGCUAUUAGGCUCGAGACCUCGUCUUCAUAGUCUGACACGAUAAAAUCUUCAUCCCUCAAAGAGAUCCGCAGACGAGAACCUUCCUCAGUGAUUAUUUGGUUCACCGCAUGCAGGUUAUCUUGGGUGAAAUUGUUAACAUACUCAAAUUUCAACAAGUAUUCCUUCUCCACAUCGACAAUAGGCUUUGAUCGUAGAUCUUCAAAUGGCAACCAGAACCACUCAUCCCAGCCUAAGAUGUGUGGCCCAUUAGAGGCAGCAACCUUCCCAUCCGGUGGAUCUCCACUAUCUGGAAUUAAUUCUUGUUCAUUGGCUGAAUGGAUAUUAACAGCCAAGUGAGUGUCAAAAUGAUCGUUGAUGGGAGAGGUUGUAUCAGGCCCGGGGCUGGACAGAGUUUGCAAUUCAUUAUCUUCAGAUUCUUCCAUCUCCCCAACAGAUGCACCCACAAUUGGAAUUUCCUUGUCUUCAACAAGUGGUUCGUCCAUGCCUUCAUUGCUACCAGAAUCAGAAACUUUGUCCUUAUUUUCAUAUCUUGUCAAUCCAGUCUCAAGAUUGGUCUCUACACCUUCUUCAUUUAUCUUCUUCUCACCACUUGAAGGUAGCAAACGAUUAGAUAAAACCAGUGACUGCAAUCGGUAGUUCCAGGUGAGAGCUUGGAACAAAAGUUCCCACCUCAUGCGGUUUAAGCGGAGCAGUUUGUGGGAAACAUCAUCCAUGGUUUUAGCAUUCUCAAAAGACAUCUUGAUGUUUUCCUAUUUUAGGCAAUAAUGCCCAAGAAAUGGAUGAAAAGGUAUUAGUAAGCUUCUGUCAUGAACUACAAAGAUAUUGUAUACUGAAUGCAAUUGUUGCAAUGCUAACCUGAAAUAGGCGGCGCUCGUGAUUCAGUAACUCGUCGACGUUUGACAACAAUUUUAGUGCACACUGGUAGCUGAGAUCUGAAUUUGUGAACUGUGAUCUUAGUCUCUUCAGAAAACUAGUAGCGUCCUCGAACAAGGAUAUACCUUUAGUGAAUACCUGAACAGGUAAACAGAAACAAUCAGCAAAAAUCAUUGUGCAAUUAAAGGCCAGCACUCGCCCCAAGCAAGAGAUAAUCUUUGUUGCUAACACCAUGCAUAUGAAUAUACAGGUGCAGUAGAAAAUAAACUUACUCCAUGGAAUUCUUUUUCAAGCCAACCCACUUUUAUAAAAAUGCUAGGCUCCAGCAUCAUGGGUGGCAGAGACACUGUGUAAGAUGUGACUUGGGAGUAACUGAGCAUAGCAACCAUGGAGCCUAACCUGCAGGUUGUUAACAUGUCGUAAGAUUAAUCAUAUAUUACUAGAGACAAUAACGGCUCUCAAACCAUCAUCCAUGUUUUUUACGUCUCAACACUAGAACCAAGGGACCUUCAAGAGAGCUAACUAAGCCUUAAAACAAGAAAAGUAGGUAUAAACUAACCUAGAAUAUGUGAAUGCGAAUAUUUCGGAAGCCCAUAUAAAUAGAGUAACUCAAAACUUUACUUUAGUACUUGAUUAGAAUAUGUGAAGCUCCAGGUUGAGCAAAAUAGAGCAAAAACAUACCCAAAGAAGUGAAGAAAGUCCUUGUCCAAAGAGUGGCCGCAGCUACACAAUCUAUUCAGAAAAGUUUGCUGAGUAAAGCUGAGCUCCAGGAAUUUUCCAAAUGACAAGCUACGAGCAGCAGUCGAUAUCAGCACUCGUUUGGUAGAUUUCCGGGUCCCAUUCUUUGUCUUACACUUUCCACAACGACUCCACAUCCAGAUUUUUCCUUUUGCCUCACCAGGCAAACAUUUUGGCACAGAAAUUCGCUUGAUUUGGAUUGUUAGUUGCUUGUUUUGAUGAGCAUAAUAGUAAAGAUGUGCUUCCGGAGUUUCACCGCACGUUCGGCACUGGCUUCUCUGCACCAUAAACAGUUGCCUUAAAAAACUUGCCAUAAAUGUUGUAAAGCUUAUUAACAUAAGGAACACAGAUUAACCUUGACAAAAGAACAAAACAGCAUUUAAAAAAAAAAGAAAAUGACAAAGAACAAGAGUAAAACCUGAAUGAACAUAUCUCGCAGGAAUCUAUCCAAGCGAACAUCAAAGUGCUUGUAAAACUUUAUGUGCGAAAAAUGACUUUGGUCACACAUCAUCCCAUUGAAAGCAUUCCUCUUUGACACUAACACCAAUAUACUCUGAGAUUCCAAGGUGGUCUCAAUAUCAUUCUCAGUUGGCGACCUCUCUCCAUCAUCUGAAUUCGUGUUUACCGGGAGCCCAGGGUCAAGUAACAAAGGUCUUUCAUCCUUUUCUGUAGCAUCUUCGGCAGAUUCCCUUAUCGAAUCUGUAUCCACAGUAACUGGAACUGAUUCCGGAUUUUCAACUAAGCCAAAAUAUUUACUUAGCUUGGCGGAUAAAGAGGAAAACCCAGUAAAAAUAACUGGAUUAUAUGGCUCGUGAGAGAAGACAUGAUCUCCACCAGAAUCCCAGUUUUCAGCUUUCUCACCAUCUGAUUCCCCAUUUAUCUGAAUAGAUCGUUCAUCGAAUCCAUUAGAAAAGGGAAUAUCAAUUGCUUCAAGUGAAGAUUUUCCAGGAGAAGGAGAUAGUAGAACUUUUUCUGUUUCCAUAACACAUGAUGUAGCUUCCUUUGGAAAGAUGGUUGAGAACAUUGUUUGCCGAUCAGCAAGGAAGGAAGCCUCCAACAUUAGAUGAUAUGCAAGGUUAAAUGAAUCUUGUACUACUUCUUUGACCUUUUUCAACCUUUCACUGUGGCUUCCUUUAAGUAAAAUCUGUCACAUACCACAAUGUCAAAAUCAGAUAAUCAGGGGUACACUGCAAGAAAGUCCAAGGUCAAUGUCACAAUUUCAAAUUUUGAAAGAUUUGAUGUUUUAUCCAGUGGAAACUAGGCAGUUAUGUGAUGUAUUGAUGUGUUACUCAAGUAAAGAUACCAUCAAGGACUUAUCAUAAUCCAAUAUCAAUCAAGCACUCACCGUGCAGCCAAGGCGGGUAGGACAACCUUCUAAGAACAUCAGCGUUUUAGUUGGCUUCUUCUCAGCUUCGCCCACAGCAUUAUGCUCCUCCACAAUUUUCUCAAUGCGAAAGGAAUCACAGUGCUUUAACUUCUGACUAGACAGAGAUUCCAAUGGAAUGAUUGGUGAACCUAUGCAUCGAGAAAUUCGCUGUAGACGGUGGAGCUUCAUGUCAAGCACCAGAGUGACCUUUUGUUCAUUAAUAGACAAUUGGAUAUCACGCGAAACAGAUUUUUCCACCAGCAUGAUGUCAGGCUUCAACGCGGUUAUGAUAUCAACAACAGGCUUCACAUAAACAUCUUUGUCCUGUUGGCAAAAACCAAACAAAAAGAAAUCAGAUAUUACCAAAUGAAAGCUUUCAAAAUGGUGAAUUGGUGAUCGCCAAGUUACUGUGCUCCCCACCUUAUCCAUUGACUGGAGAGAAGAAAAGCCACUUAAUGGCUGGCCCAGUACUCCUUCGACUAACAUUAUUCUAGGAUGCUCAUACUUGGUAGGCAUUUGUUUAAGAGCAGCAUGUUUUUUGAAAACAAGGCCUUUAAAAACUUCACUGCAGAGAUGAACAAUCAUUAGGAGAGUACGGUAGAGGGAAAUGGAAUAAAAAGCAUAUGCAACGUAUAGGCAAUCAAUGGGUAACUUGUAAUACCUUUCAUUGCAAGAACCAGUUGCUAUGCAUUUCACUUUGAUGUACUCAGCCGGAUCAACUGGUUUGCCAUCAAUAUCUGGCUUUAAUAGUGAAGCAGCCUCCCAGCAUAGCCUAGCAACUAUCUCACUCCAACUUUCACCUUCUUCCAUUGAAAACCCAGCCGACUGAAUAAGCUGACUCACAAUGAAGUUAAACUUUGAGUUUGCCACCGCAAGCAUUGCUCUUCUAUUUUCUUCAUUGAACUUUCUCUGGUUACUACUGCCAUCUUUAGAUUCCCCUAAAGAAGAUGAUCCCCUUUUAGAGGCAUCACAACAGUCAUCACCAUCAGCAGCAUCUUCUAGUUCAUCUUCUGGGUCUAGUGGCUCCGGGGGUUCCCAAAUAGGGGGGGCAUCCAUUUCAGCACCAUCAUCUUCACGAUCAGAUAGGAAUUGAACACUUUCAACACCGUUGUCUUUAGAUUUUUCACCCAAAAUAUAAAUGUCUCUCUGGAUGUCACUGGGCAUGCUCUUGGACUUGCGCUCUAAGGUAUAUUGGCGAUCGACCUUCUUAUCCUUUAGGGGGGAGUCCACAUCUUCUUGACUACCAUGGCUUGAACACUCAUCUUCAUUACCCCUGACAUAGACAGAACAAAGUAUAUCAAUAAUCUUUGAUUAAUCAAAUCCUAGCAACAUGUAUGUACCAGCCUUACCUUUCAUAAGAGUUUCCAUCAACAGAACACUCGCCUAGCAAAACAAAAUCAUCAAACCAUAUGGUUAGAUAAACACUGUCACAUGAUUCAGGACAUAACAACAAGAAACAUACCAGAGAGAGAGCGUUCGCUGUCCGAUAAGGAGUUAGUGGUCGUCAUCAAUGGAGUCAGUCUCUAACCAAGGUCGAUGUAAAUGUAAAUCUCAGAGGAUAUUUGUGAUCAUUCUCCGUUGUACUGACCAAAGAUCUGAGUAAAAACUACAAACACGUUUCCACCUACUUGAAAAAAAAAAGAAAAAAAAAGAAAGACGCGUGAAUUAGCAUCUACGCCACUAAUAAAUCUGAUAAGUAGUAAAGGAAAAAUAAUCAGACCGACGGAGAUUUAUGAGAUCGAGCAUGCCCCAAAUAAAUAAAUAAAUAAAUAAAUAAAAAGAAAAAGGAGAGAAACAAUCCGCGAAGAUCUAGAGAUUUACGCCAAUUUAAAAAAAAAAACAAAAUCAAUUUCAGAUUUCGAAUUUCUGUGAACAACUGUACUGCCGAAUUAAUGAAGAAGAGGAAAUCAAGCAAUCCACGAACCGGAUUCACCAGAUUUCAAAGUUUUCGCGAAGAUCUGUGGAUUUUAUUAUAAAAAUCCGUUCAGAUUUCGAAUUUCUGAGAAUCAUUUUUCGUUAUUUCAAACACGAACUCGCCGGAACGAGUCAAAUCAACACUGAGAUCAAAUUUCAGUUCAAUAAAACUGAUAAUCUUCACAGAAUCAACGAAGAUCAUCCGCUGCUAAAGAACAAGCAAAAGCCAGAAAGUCGAAAAGAAUGACUCACAAGAGUUUUCCAGAAAUAUGAUGAGCUUGAGCUUGACGAAAUUGUAGAUUCUUUUGUGCCUUCAAGAGUAUAACAAAGCCAGAGAAGUUGGUGGAUUUGGUCUUCUUCCUCGAAAUGAAACGAGUCCACGAAGAGUUGUCUUAGACGGUGGAGAGAAUGAAUGGAGACGAAGCUUGAAGAAGCGAUGGCAGAAUAUUUCAUUUAUAUUCCACUUUUACCAGUGGGCUCCACUUCUAUUUCCAUUUAUUUUCUUUUCUCAUUUCUUUACAAAAUAAUAAGACCAGUUUUUACAGCUACAAAAUAAUACCUUUUUCUUUUUUUGACAUUUUCUUACUACUUUCCGGUCUUAAACACAUAUAUAUUUUUUGUACAUUUUUAACUGCAAAAAAAAAAUCAAAUAUAAAUUUACUGUUAUUUGUGGAAAUUUCAUUUGUUAUAUUCAAAACUCUACAAUAUUAAACCAAUUAGAUGAUUGUUAUAUUCUAGUAUGGUUAGUAUAACUAACAUAUAAAAAAAUAUGAGAUGUUCUGUCGGAUUUGAUUUUCUUGAGUUUGAACUUUGAAGCUUUUUCCGAGUGUUUUGCAUUUCACAACUACAACAUGUGGCAUAUAAUGAUGUAAUACAUUCAUUUCAUUGCUAUGAGUAAUAGUAAAAUUCAGAAGCGUGCACAAUUUUUUUUUAGAAAUUGAUUAAAAUACGUAUGUUUGAUUAAAGACCAAAAACCUAUCUAAAAUGAUGCCUAGUUUAAGCUUUCAAACAAGUGAUAGAAUUCAAAUUACAGAAAAAAUAUAGAUAGAGUUUACCUCAAUAAAGGGAAGAUUCGUAGAAAAUGAUAUUCUUAUAUAUCUAUUAUUUAGAAUAAUAAUACUAUUACUUGUCAAAUAUACAUUCUACCAAAUAUAUUUUAACAUUUGAGUUUAAGGUUUUAAAAUUAUUAUUUGGGUUUUAUUGUUUAGGGUGUGUGUUGGUUUAUAAAUUUCUAGAAAUGUGUUAGAAAUUAUUUUAAACAUUUAUAAAUAAUUUAAGAGAGUUAAGAUAAUAUUUUAUCAUAAAUCUAAGGUAUUUAUGAAAAUGAUUAUCUUUUACGGGUAAAUUUGAAAAAUAAUAUCAAACUUGUAGUAAAACUGAAAUUCUCUGUUUUCCAUUUUUGUUGAUUGAUUUAGUGACUUUAUUCCACAGUAAGUUAUUUUUGUUUAUAAAUAAACAUUUACUUGUUAGAUAAUUUUUUACACAAUUUUCCAUACUAUUUUAUGUGGAUAUCUAAUUUAUUAAAAGAAAUUAUAUUUUCAACAUAUAAGCAUAUGACAAGUUAUAUAUGAAAUAAGUUCUAAGCCUGAAAGUAUAUACAACUAUUCAAAAUAUCAUAUUAAUACCCUUUUUAGGUAAUAUAAGGAAAAAUAUUUUAUAAGUAAUAAAGCCAAAAUUUAUUAAUGUAUAGGUAAAUAAUUAUCACUAUGCAAACAAAGAAACGAAAAAAAUUCUAAUAGGAGCCAGAAAAUGUUUAAUAAACACGCACAAAAAUUGGUGUGAAGCUCACGUGUAUGAAAAAUCUAACAUAUAUACUACAUAUAACAUAAAAUCGAUAGAUGACAAAAAAAUAUAUAAACUAAUACUUGAUGCAUUAAUAAAAUAAUAAAUUUAUAAAUUUCUCUGAUUUCAACUUAGAUUAGUUAAAUAUAACAUAGUAAAAUAAUUAUAUUUUAAAAAUUCUUAAUGGAUUAUAUGAUCCCUUUAAAAUAAUAAACUAAUUAUUAGUAACUAUAUAUAUUAUUUUUAUAUAAAAUAAAAAAUAAUUUUAUUGUUUAUUUUCUAAAAUAAAAUAUUUAUUUAUUUCGAUAUUUUAGUGCUACUUUAUCAAAUUACAUAUAAAACCACAUUUUCAUUAUAUCAUAUGUAUUCAACAUACAUAAUAUAUAUCAAAUAAUCUAAUAAUAACAAUACAUAAAAUUCUAUUCUAUAAAUUUUAACCAAUAUAUAAUAUUUAUUUUUGGUGAAAUUUCAAAUUUAUUGAUCACUCAAAAGACAUUUACAAGUAAAUGAAUGUUAAAGAAUUGCUAAAGCCUACUAGGAAAUAAAAUUGACUCCAAGAAACUGCUAAAUGCCAUUAACGUCAAACCAUCUACUCAUAAGAACACCUAGCUUAUGAUCCCCUACAUAUUUAAGAGAUGAGAUCCUGUUCCUUAUCGCUUUAUCCGUCAGUUUUAUCACAUGCUCCACUGUCUGAGGCCCUUUGUGAUGUCGUCUAGCAUUCCGCUCUCUCCGUAUGUGGUAUAUAGUCGCCUGAAACAGAAGACACACAAGAACUUUGUCCACUCUAGUAAAACGCCUUGUCUGAAGCAUCAUCAGAUUAUCAUUCCAAUCAGGGUUGAUUCCAGUUCUAAUCAAUCUGCUAGCCAGUUUGUCCCACAGCGUGUAUGAGUACGGACAGCCAAAAAAUAGAUGAUCGCGCGUCUCAUCUUUCUCCCCACAUAGAACACACUCCUGAUGAAGACCCUAUGCUCGCAUUCGAUCGCCAGUAGCAAGUCUGUUCAGAACUGCCAACCAGGUUAUGAAUGCAAACCUCGGUACCCCCUGAGCUAACCAAAUGCUGGUGCUCCAUUUAACUUCAUCUCGUUUAUGUCGAAUCUGAUCCCACGUCUUAAUAGCAGAGAAGCUAUCGUGAUAAUCAUCUUCCGAGUGCCGCCAAAGGAUCACAUCCUCACCAAGCUCAAGUGCAGGAACUGGUACGUUCUGUAUCAUCGUAUGUAAGUUGUGAUAGUGUCUACUCCGUUGGCCUCUUACGUUCCACUGGGAGUUUGAGACUGCUUCAGAUACCCGCGCCUUCCGUCUAACGCCAAGAUAGCGUGUACCAACAGCUCCAGUAAUCUUGAUUAUUUUCCCCACAUGCAACCAGUCAUCGAACCAGAAAAAAGCCCUUCUUCCAUUGCCUAUCUCAAACCUAAAGAACUGAUAAGCCAGGGGGCGCAACUGCAGUAGUUUCCGCCAUAUCCAAGAUCCCUUCGAAUCAUCUCUGACAUCCCAAAAGGAGCCUUCUUGCAAGAGGUAAUGCUGUAUCCAAGAAACCCACAAAGAAUCUGAUAGCAUAAACAACCUCCAAAUCAGGUUUGAAGCAAACACUUUAGUAGAAUCCCUUAACCGUCUUAACCCAAGUCCACCUUCCGAUUUAGGGUAGCAGAGAUCCUCCUAUUUAAUAUUUGCCUUAUGCGUCUGGUUGGGUGAGCCUGACCACAGAAAUGCGCUACAAAGACUCUCAAUGUCAUCCAGACAUCCCAUUGGCAGAAUAAAGGCUUGGCUCCAAAAAUUAAUGAUAUCUGCGAUUACUGACUUGAUCAUUGCAAUAAUAAUGUUUACGUCAUUUUAAAUAAAACUAUUUUAAAAACUAAAUUUAGAAAAAUUAUUUUAAUUAAUAAAUUAUCAUAAUCCCAAAGCUAUUAAUUUAUAAAUUUUACUGUAUAUAUUAAUUGUAAUCAUAUAGGUUCAGUAUAUUUAUUUGGUGUUUAAACUGCAAAAGAGUAUAAAUACUAUGUAGUUAUGCAUAAAAUAUAAGCUUGUUAUAUUCUAGUGUGUUUGUUUUUUUUUUCAAAAUAUGGUUAAAUUAACUAACAUAGAAAAAAUUGUGAGAUGUGUACUCAGAUUUGAGUUUCAACCUAUUUUCUACAAGUAUUUUGCAUUCUAUGAAAAAAACACAUGGCAUAUACAAAUGAUAAGUCUAUUUCAUCGUUUGAGAAUAAGAGUAAAAUUUAACAAGUGUGGAUGAUUUUUUCAUUUUUAUUUAACUAUUUAAGUUAUUGUUUUCUAAUUAUAUGUUAUUUAUAUUUUUAAAUGAUAUUUUUAAAUGAUAUCUUAAUUACUAAAUGAUGCUUUUACAUGGCUUCACCAUGCUUAAUAUUUUAUUGUAGAUUUAUUAAAUUCAAUGAAUGAAUUUAUAUUCACAUUAUGUAAACAUAUGGUAUAUUCUAUAUAUUUGAAACUAAUUUCUCAAAACCAAGUAUUAUAUAUUAAUUAAAUUUUAUAUGGUUUAUUUAUUUAUAUUCUAUGUAAUUUAGUUUUGUAAUUUUUUAUUUUAUAACCUUUUUGGGAGACCGUUAAAAUUUAGCUGUGGUUGAUAUAUUACAACAAUAAUGUAACUAAAUAUUAAAAUAUAGUAUUGCUUUUUAUGGUAAUGUAAUAAAGAUUUUAUUAUUUUUAUUUCCUUUAGAAACAAAAUUUAGAAAUUUAUUUGGAAAUUAAUAAUUAAUUUGUAAACAUAAAGAACAAAACUAAAAGUGUCCAAAAUAUUUUGUAAAUGUUUGCUGUCAAAAAAAAAAUGUCCAAAAUAAAUUUACUAAAUGAUGAUGGGAAACGUUUUCAAGACGGACGAAAACUAGUCAAAACUAGUUAGAAAUUCACGUGAAAAGAAACGUUAACGUAUAUAAUGUGAUUGUCAGUUUUUAAAUAUACGUUAGAAUGGCUUAUCUAAUGAUAGUACAUAUACCUAUAUAAUAUAUAUGACAUGUGUCGUGUUUGUAAGACCACUUUCGUAAGCUAUAAUAUGUCAUAAAUAAAUUAUGUGUUACAAUAGUAUAUAAUAUUAUGUUUAGGUUUAUCUGAUGAGGUCAGUUAAAAUAUAACAUUUUUUUAAUAAAUUAACAUAUAAAUAUGUACAUAUGUAUAUUUUCAAUCGUAUGAUUUUAGAAUGACAUGCUUUUAAAUGUGAUUAAUAAUCUUUAUUUGAUGACCAAAAUAAUUCAUCAUUUAUCAUAUAAUAGGUUGAUACAAUUAAUUAUAAAUGACUGAUAUAUAAAUAUAUAUAAAAUAUAAUUUGUCAUGUUUUGAAAAGUUAAAAUUAUGCAUAUCUGGGUAAAAUAACACCUGGUCAUAUGGCAAAUGUUAACCACAUUGGUAGAUAAUUAAUACACAUUAUAAAAAAUCAUAUUGGAUAUAAUAUGUCAUGCAUUUAACAAAAUGUUAGUAAUAUAGAAAGAAGAAAAAUGCACAUGAGAGAAAAUAGAGUACAAUAAACACAAAUGAUAUUUUAAAAUACUGUAAUUCAUAUAAUAUACAAAUGUUAUCAAAUAAAACAAAAGAAAUAAAAAAUUGUUGCUUCAUCAGCUAACAAAUAAACCGUUUCAUGUUGUGGUCUUCAAUGAAAAAAAUGGUGUAGUAUAAUUUGAAAUUAUUAUUAACCCAAAAUAAUAUUUUGAUAUUAUUUUUCCAAACUGAUGAAUUUUUUUAACUUUAUCCAACUUUUUCAUUUAUUAUAAGUUUUAGAUAGAGGAAGUUUUUCUUUUUAGUUAUAACUUAAACAAUGAACUAUUUUAAGUUUGGGAAAUUGGAUUGUAUGGCAUGGAAAAAAACCUAAUUCAAUGGAUAACCAAUUUACCUAACAUUCAUAUACACACCAUUACAUUUAUAUAAUAAUAUUGUAUUAGCCCUCUCUUCAACCGAUGCAACCUGAUGAAAAUAAAUAAUUAAAAUUUUUAAUUAUUAACUUCAAAAAGUAAAUCGUGGCUUACCCUACUUCACAUUUUCCCUUUUUACUUCACUUGCUAGCUUCCUCGCAUUCUAAUGGUCUCCGAUGCUGAUUUGCUCCACAUCGUCGCCUCCACCGGAAUUCCAAAGCUUUGUUGACGUCUUCUUCACUCUUUACAAUCGCGUUCUCUUUUCCUCUUGUGAAAUCAUCCGCCACCGGCCGGCGUUAAAGUUGCAGCGGAAGAUAGUAACAAACCGUUCCUAUUCCAAUUCACCUCCUCUAUUUUGUCAGAUAUCUGGAACUACGGUAAGUUCUUGGGGUUUGCCUUCGAAUCUCUUUAUCUUCUCGUCUUUUCUUGUUAUUUUCUUUUCCAUUUGGUCUCUUCUCGGAAUUAGGGUUAUAUAAUUGAUAACUCUAUAAAAUCGUUCCAGGUGCAUGUCGGAUCUGUUUUUAGCCGACAGUUAGGCAAUUGAUUUAGGGUUGGGGUUUAUCCGGUUGUUCUUCGGCUUUGUUAAAAUUGAAUUGUGAGUUUUAGCAGAGAUACUAUGUAUGGAAUAGUUUGAUGUAUGGCAUAUAAUUUGUAUUACAAUUUGUUUGCGUCUGAACGGAGCAUGAUAUCUUCUAUCUCUAUUCUAUUUACAGUGGAAUAGAAUAAAUUGUUAGUUCAAAUUAUUUUACUUGCGACAUAAUAUUCUAUUUAGAUGUGUUUGAAUGCUUGCAACAUAUGCCAUACCAUUCAUUAUCAUCCAUUUUAAUCUGUAGAAUAUACACUACAAGAAAAUUAUUAUAUUAUGACGAAAUUUUUAGUCGCAAUAUUAAAUAAUUCGUAAUAAUAAAGAUAUUGUGACGUGUUUGAGACGAUUUGAGAACAGUUACAAUACGAUCGUCACAAAUGUUCGUUAGUAACAAAACUGUUACUGUGUUUGCGACACAUUCAUACAGUAACAGUUCGGUCACAAACAGCAACGAUAUAUACAAGUAACAAGUCUGUUAUAAUUACCAACUAAAAAUAAUGUCACAAAACUGUCAUAUUAUGUGACUGUGAUAACGUCUUAAUUCCGUUGCUCAUUGCAACAUAACUUUAGUCUUAAAAUGUCACAAAUGAAGACUGAAAAGCCAUCACAAAUUUGUCUUCGAUUACGACUAAUUGUUAGUCACAAAUUUGUCACAUUUUAUAACUAAAAUAUCAUCAUAAAUCCAUCGUAGUUAACUAUUGCUUUGUUAUAGUUUUUCACUAAUUUAUUAAGUAUUGCAAUUAAUUAUGUUGAUAGAAGCAUAUAUUCGUUUGAAGCUAUUCAUCAUUUGUAUCUAAAUUACACCAAAAUACAAUACAAGGUAACAAUUAAUAAAGACAAUAGCGUUUUAACACUUUUAUGAUUCUUGCACAGAAAGCAAACGAUAUGGAGACUUCCUAUACAAUGAUAUAUCUUUAGUUCAGAUCUGACCAUAAUGUCUAAACGAAGUCUAACAAUGAAACUGUCUUUGUCUUCGUCGAUGAUUUCUUUUAUCUUGGCUCCGAUCUGUUCUAUCUUUUCCCUUGACUCUCCAAUCGGACUUCUCCGUUCCUCUCCUUACUGACCAGGCUGCCGGCAAACACUACCUAAACGAUGAAUGAUGAUAGUACGGGAGAGGAUUCUCCCUCUCUCUGAGGCAGCCGCAGCCUUAGCUUUUUAUGGGGUGCAAAAAAGUCUGUACACAUAUAACAGAGGACCUCUUUUUAGGGUUAUAUAAUAAUAGAUUUUAAGUGGGCUUUAAGGGUUUAGGUAAAAAAAUUCCACGGUAAAUUUAUUAAGUCUCUUGAUUCCUAUGUCACGUGAUAUUUGUAGAGAGUAUUAUAUAUAAAAAUAGUUAAUAUUUCUCUUUUAUUUUUGACAUAAUUUUUUGUCUAAUAGAAAAACAGUUACACCAAAAUACCAAUCAAGAUAAUGAUUGAAAAUAUAUUAUAUGAUAUCUUUUUGUUAUAAAGAAAAAAUAUAUAUACAAUUGACUAAAAUGAUAGUAAGUAAUUCUAUAUAAUAAAAUUUCAAAAUACAACGAACUUGUUACAUCAUUUGACUGCAGUUUGUUACAAAUAAAAAUAUUUCCGGAUUCGAACUACUAACUCGUGUUUAGUCACCAUAUCAUCAUAAACUAAGACUACCAAUUCAUAACAAUUUCAUAACAAAGUUUGACCAAACAUUUGGUCAUAAUAUUGUCACAAUUUGUUACAACUAUCAUUUUUGUCACAGUUUUGUUAUUAAUUGCGACGAAAGUUGGCUACCGUUUAAAUAGUCAUAACAUUGUGACAAAAUAACAACUUAUUUGUUACAUAAAAUUUUGGUUGCAAUAUUGUAUCAACAAUGUCACAAAUCUGUGACGAAUAUUACCAGUAACAAAAUUCAGUCACAAUAUCUUCUUUCUUUUUGUAGUGAUAUAACUCAUUGUUACUUUCUUAUCUUCAUUGUUCAGGUUUGGCAUGUAAGAUUUAGACCUUCCAUGUGAAGUCGGUAGACGUUGUUUAGGUUUGAAAUAAUUUCCACUUUAAAGCUAAUGUGAGUUAUGAUUGCUAUAUAACUGAUAAUCAUAAUAUAAUAUAUGUUGUUUUGUAGCUCUGAUGAUGAGGAGUAACUACAAUAGGCCGAUGAAUAUGUUUCUUCUCAAAUUUGUGGGAUUGUUGAUAAAAUUGUCUCUAUUGAUGGUGAAGGAUUGUGGUAUAAUAGAGUUUCAAAGAUUCAUGUGGUGAGCGAUAAGACUUGUGUAGUGGUGAUCAUUUCCAUCUAUACAAUUGAAACCAAUGUCAUCUAUGCAUAUAUAAUAGAAAUGUAAAACAAUAUAUAUUUUUCAUAAUUUGUUAUGCGAUGUAUUCUGUUACUAUAUUAUCUUAUCAUGUUCUAUUCCGCUUGACGAUUAAUAAAAAGUGCUCUAUUUUGUUUAUAAAUAUUGUUUGUAAUUUUAUUAAGUUCUCACUAUCGGUACAUGUUUGUUAACAUGUAAAAAUCAUACUAUGAUCUAUAUUGUAUAGUUUAAUAUUAUAUAAUAUAAUUUAAUAUUACAUAAACUUUUUAGAUUUUGAUAUUUGGGUUUAGGGUUUAUAUUUGGGUUAGGGUUUAGUGAUUAGAGUUUAGGGUUUAGUAUUUAGAAGGUGAGAGGAUAUGGUUGGGGUUAACAUUAGAUUCUUCCAUGCAAUGAUAGAUAUUUCAUAAUUUCAACAAUAUGCACUAUGUUAUUUAUUUUGUUUCAUUAUAUUUGGGUUUAGAGUAUAUAUUUUGGUUUAGGGUUUAUAUUUGAUUAAGAGUUUAGUGAUUAGAGUUUAGGGUUUAGUAUUUAGAAGGUGAGAGGUAUGGUUGGGGUCAUCAUUAACUUCUUCAAUGCAAUCAUAGAUAUUUCAUAAUUUCACCAAUAUGUAUUAUGUUAUUUAUUUUGUUCCAUUCUAUUUGGAUUUUGGGUUUAUAGUUUAUAUUUGAGUUUAGGGUUUAGUGAUUAAGGUUUAGGAUUUAGUAUUUUAGGAUUGGGGUAAUGUUUAUUAUUUAGAGGUUGUGAAUGUAGUUAUAAUUUAUAUUUGGAUUUAGGUUUAGUGAUUGGGAUUUAAAGUUUAGUAUUUAGGUGUUGGGAUAAUCUUUAGUAUUUAGGAGUUGUAUAGUGAUUGGGAUUUAGGGUUUACUAUAGAGGUUAUGAUAAUGUUUAGAAUUUAGGUUUGUGAGUGGAAUUAUUAUCCUAUACUAUUUCGGCGACAUGGAAUAGAAUAUUUGGUGUAUAUGUAUGUGGUUAAUAAAUGUGUUACGUGAAUGUGAUUGUAAAUACGCCACAGGAAAAGCGACGUCGCCUAUUUUCUUACUUGCAACUGGAUACCUGUUAAACAAAAGGACAUAACCGGAUGAUUUGAGGUAUAAAUGUCUGACACUAAAUUAUGUCAAAAUCAUUGCCAUACACCUAAUUUAUUUUUCAAAUAUGGCUAUUACACAAAUAACCCCUUUAAGUUUUUAGUGUGUUGACAUAAGAAUUAAUAUUUCACGUUUUCUUUUUCUUUUCUAUGCUCCUUUUUCACACUUAGCCAAUCUUCUCAUUUUAUACAAUAAUCUUCUUGUUCUUAUGACAUCUUUAAUUAUUUGAUCACAAAGCUUUUAACCAUAUUCUCACACACUAAUAGUUUUUGUCUAUUGUCUACUUGAUAAACCUUAGCUUUUUUCUCUCGAUUUACUGUUGGUAAACAAUUUUUUCUUCUUUUAUAAUUUUGUUGUCUACUCUGAUUUUUCAAUCAAAGAUACUACUUCAAGAAUAUUCUGGUUAACUAAUCAAUUCUUCACAAUGUAUCAUUAUUUCAUCAUGGGAUAAUUGGAAUAUGAUUAUCUAAUAUAUGGGUCAUGACUGAGCUUUGUGAUUUUAGUAUAAUGAUCAAUUUUGAUAGGCGGUUGAAUGAUACCAAUAUUCACUUUAUCUUUAUGAUUUUGUUUUUUUAACUUUUUUUUUCAUCAACAAUACAGACUCAUACUGGCUCUGUAAACCAAACCGGUUUACAUUUUUGACUCAGAUCACCUUUUUGACUCUGUAAUUGGAAUAUGAUUAUCUUCAGUUUGCAUGGAUACUAUGGUAUAUAUGGAAAGGAAGAAAUAAUAAAGUCUUUAGUAAUUUGGAUGUGGAUCCGUUGGAUACCCUUAAACUGGCAGAAACGGAAUCAAAACUCUAGGCUGAGGCACAAAUACUGACUGAUCAUAAGAGGAGUCCACAGGUAGAGGCUAUGAUUCUUCCGUCAAUUUCAGGAAGAUGGUGUUUUACGGAUGGAUCCUGGAAAGAGAAUGAGGUUUUUUCAGGUCAAGGAUGGUACAGUACUCUAGAAGGAUUUGCGGGUUUGAUGGGUGCAAGAAAUGUUCGGGCUUCCCUUACUCCUCUUCAUGCGGAGUUGGAAGCUUUAUUAUGGGCAAUGGAAUGUAUGAAAAACUUACGACAAUUUCAGGUUACGUUUGCAACGGAUUGUUCUCAAUUGGUGAAGAUGGUUUCAGAACCAGAAGAAUGGCCAGCAUUUGCAAGUUAUUUGGAAGAUAUAAACAGCCUGAAAGAGAAUUUUUUCCGAGCAGAGAUUAUCUAUGUACCAAGAACGCAAAACAAGAAGGCAGAUAGCUUAGCCCGCAGUGCUAGGAAGAAAACGUCUUUUGUAGUUCACAUGGAUCAAGAUCUCCCAGUUUGGUUUACAGAGUCAACAUGAGUCUGUAAAGUUGAUGACAAAAAAAAAAAAAAAAAAAAAAAAUUGGAAUAUGAUUAUCUAAUAUAUUGGUCAUGACUGAGCUUUGUGAUUUUAUUAUAAUGAUCAAUUUUGAUAGGUGGUUGACUGAUACCAAUAUUCACUUUAUCUUUAUGAUUUUGUUUUUUUAACUCAGAUCACCUUUUUGACCUUUUUCUAUUUUUUUGCAUCAACUUAUCUUAAGUCAUGAACUUAUAAGUAUAAACAAACAUUCUUAGUUUUGGACUUAUUAUUUCUACCAUCAUCUCAUAAUUUUCAUGAUACUUUUUAUUCCACAAAAAUUGUUAUCUACUUGGAACUGACUAGUGGACACUUCAUUCGAACAUCUUAAUGAUCUCCUCUUAUAAGUUUUGUCUUCUUUAUCCAUUAAUCACAACAGCAUUCCUUGUUUUAAGCUUAUUGAUUUACAUUCCGAUCCUUUUUAAUUUCUUACUGAUUUUCCUAAACUUCCCCCAUUUUUAUAAGAUUUCAUAUAUUUCUUGUGUAAUCUGGUUUCAUGACUUGAAAUAUCCAGAAGCUUAUGUCUUCCUCUCUUCCAUGACAUAGCUUACUGAUCAUGAAUUCAACCAUUAAGGUUUUUUAUUAUUAUGCACUUCCAUUUUCAUUUUCUCAGGGUGUCAAUCUUUAAUGUUCCCUCUCAUAAAAUAUUUUCAGUCAUCCUUCCCAAUCAAUUCAGUUUGUCUCUAUACGUAUGAUGUUAGGAGUUUUCAAGGCUCCUAAGACAAAUGUUGUAGUAUAAAAGAUUGUCGAACCAGUUCUGAGAGAUAUCAAAGCACCGAGAAUGCAAGUAAUCGCUUAAUCUAAGUGCAACCAAUGAUUUAGAUGGGUUUUUAAACUAUGACUAAUUAAAAGGAAUAACUAAGUGAUACUUUCUUAACUAUUGGAAAAGAGAACUCAUGGAUAUAGGGAUUAGACCUCGGGUGAUCAGGUUUCGAACUAAAGAUGGCAAACGAUCAAUCAAUCUAUUAACCUUAAGCUUAGACACAAUCCUAAACAAACUCUAUGUCUAGAUGAAUGUUCAUUUACUUAACACAAUUCAAACAUCAAAUGUCUUUGGUUGAAUAUAUGAAAGCAAUCAUUACUAACAAGUCUAUUAGCUAUCUUAGCAUCUCUAACAACAAAUGUCUUUGGCAGAGCAUGCUAAAAGCCUAGGAGAGUUGUCUCGGGCAUUUCAUCGAACACCUUUCGGGUGAGAAAUGCCUAAGGAUCAACAACUGAAUGGCCAACUCAGAAGAUGCUUUAUGUUCACUCUACUAGCAAGGAAAUAUGAAUGAUCUACACUAAAACAUCCUAGUUCUAACCUAAUCACCCUUAAUCUCCCUAACCCAUGAAUUCAAAAGGUGAUUACUCACUAAUCUCCAUGAUUCCUCUUAAACCCAUGUUGGAUUUCAGAUUAAUCAUGUAGAGAAACACAGAAAAUAAAUAAGAACACAGAAUUUCAAUAAUAAACUGAUCAAUUGAUUCAAAGAGAUGACUUUCCAAAGGUUUUUGGUGGUUUUUUCUAAGAACAAAGAUGAUCUGCCUCCUGGUGGCUUACAGAGUAAUAAAACAUAGGUUUAGAAAAUAAAAACGUGCAUAAUGAAAUGACCAAAAUGCCCUUGAGAAAUCACAAGUUCGAGCAGAAAUAAAACACGCAGCGACCUCAGCCCGUCGCUCCGACAAGUCGCUCCAGGCUUCGGGAGCGACCUCGCUGUGUCGCUGCGAGAGGUCGCUCCGGGUUCGUUCUCGCGUCUCCGGGUGAUGAAAACGCGAGCGACUUCUUCCUGUCGCUCUGGUAUGGUCGCUCCAAGCUUCGGGAGCGACUUCAGCACGUCGCUCUGGAAGGUCGCUCCGAGGUGUAAAUGUGUGUCUCCGGACGAUGAAAACGCGAGCGACCUUGUGCAGUCGCUCUGGAUGAGUCGCUCCGGGAUGUGGUGCACAGCGACCUCAUGCCGUCGCUCCGAGAGGUCGCUCCAGCAGUGCUCGUCCAAAGCCCACUCUAAUCACCUCCUUUUGAGCUCCAAAUGCACCCAAAUGUCUCCAGAAACUCCAUGUGGUGCUCAACUACCUGAUAGAGACAUAUGUAUGCAAAAUGCAACCUAGACAUGGCUAAAUCCUAAUCUAUAUGAUGAAAAUGCACAUGAAUAAAUGGAUAAAACAAUGUAAAUAUGCAAGAUAUCAACUCCCCCAAACUUGUUCUUUUACUUGUCCUCAAGUGAACUUUCUAGAACUUGCAAGGAGAGAGGUUUGAAGGUGGGAGCUCAUAGCCAAAAGAAACACAACUAGCAAAUAUAAUUAGCACACUCUCUUAUUACACUCUAGCUUCUCUAGGCCUAUCUCAAAUCCUUUUGUCCCUACACUCAUCAUCAAGCAUCCACACAUUCAAAUCAACCAACUCUCACAUUCAUUAAGCACAAAACAUCAGGUGAAUUCUUGCAAAUGGUCCGUUGGUCCAAGUCACUUGGUUGGGUAAGGGAAGGCUUUUAUUCAAGUGAUUCAAGAGGUUCAAAACAUAUGAUCUUAAGGUGGUUUACUCUCAAAACAAGUAGCCUUGACAUUGCACAUAAUAUAUCUAAGAAAGGGACCAACUCAUGCAUACAAUGCUCAAUCUCCAUUGUUCUACCCUUUUCCCAAACAUACAAUUACACAAUCAUUCCCAAAUGUCAAACCCAACUCACAUCUCUCACCAAAAGAUCUUAAGAACUUUAACUCUUCCUUUUUGAAAUCUACAAGGGAUUUUUCUACAACCUCAAAACAUUUCUUAGCUCUUAACAACUUUGCUAGCCCCCUUUUCUUCUUUUUCUUUUUUUUUUUUUUUAUUUUUUUUUUUUUUUUUUUAGGUUGGGGGCCAAGACUUUUCAAAACUAGAGCUAGAGGUUCUCUACUUAUCCCAGAAAAUCAAUUCACUUAAGCACAAAGAGUCUAUCCCUUUUUAUUUUUCAUUUCUCCCAAAUCAUGAUCACAACACUCACCCUCCCACCUAUAGCUAGACAAUAGAGUGUCCAAUCUAGCAAAAAUGAAGAUCAAGCAUUGUCGUUCCCGAUACUCUCAACAUUAUGCGCAUGUAAGACUUUCCGAAGAAGGCCUCACUCAUCAAACAAUGAAAGCUUAAAAGGAGGGAAAGGUUUUGGGAGUGGUCUACCACUAGAGUUUGUCAAAGAGAUUGGCAUAAAAGAUGUGACAACUCAAGUGUGUAUAGCCAUGACUCAGUACACAAAGGACCCUAAGCAAGAAGCAUUAAGUUCAUUCAGUUCAAAUAAGGUUGUAGUUGGCUUCAAAGACUGAGUUUCAGCAAUCAACAAGUUUCAAGAAGAGUUUUCAAGGCUCGAAACAUACAAGUCUUUUCGAGAGGUGCAUGGCUACUCAAUGGUGCAACGUAGUGUUCUUUACAAGGCAUUUAAAAUCAUUGCUCCCAAUGCAACCUAUAUGCUCUAGACUCUCCUAAUGGUGCAAAUGAUGCAAACUAAAUGAAAAAUCCUUUUUUUUUUUUUUUUUAUUAUGCAAAUAGGCGUGCAAUGCAUGACUCAAAUGAAACACAAUCAAAGCAAACAUGAUCAAAUGCUUGGUACCUCCCCCAAACUUGAGUUACACAGUCUCUGUGUUGUCAAAGAAAGAAGGAGAUACCGAGAAGAAAACUAAUAUGCAAGAAUGAAAUGGUAUAUACAAGGGAGUGAAAGAAGUACCUCCUAUGGAUAAUAGGUGGGGGCAGAUGCCCCAGCAUCGUCGUCGUCAGGAGGGAAGGUGGUGUAGUAACCACCGGAUGCUGAACCGGAGCCUCCAUACCAUGGCUGGCUCUCAACCUCGUCAAUCUCGUGCUCACUGUCAGAAGAAGCGAGGGAUGGGGAUUUGUUGCCGGAAGUGGAAGGCUGAGUGGGUGGGUUCCUCCACUUACGCUGAAGCUGCGCAGCAGUGAGGGGGAAGCCAAGAGCAUCAGGCGGGGGUGGGGGCUGGGGGUUUGAGGUGUUCGCGAAAGCGAAAUCGGCUGAGCUACAUCCAGCUAUUCCUCCCCUAGUUAAGACAUCAGCUACUUUCUUCAUGAACUUGGCUGAAGUCUUUGCCUGCUUCUUCACAGUCUUGCUGAG